This is a microRNA precursor of Erinaceus europaeus (western European hedgehog), 64 nucleotides long. The record is from Ensembl. Lineage: Eukaryota; Metazoa; Chordata; Mammalia; Eulipotyphla; Erinaceidae.
UCUUCCCCCAAGUCCCUGUUCGGGCACCACCUGCCGCGGACCACUCAGUGGACAAGCAGCAGGA